CCAGCUCCUUGUUGUCGUAUAUUUAGUCAAACGUUCUGGGCUCGCCAAAAAUAGAGCAGCCGUGGAAAUAAAUCAGGCUGACUGGAGGUGCCAACAUUGUCUGCCUGAAAGUAAUUAAUUUCUUAUAUCCUCUGCUAUAUUAAUCCUCUACACACGGCCCUGUCUGUCAGCGGAGUUUUUGUAAUUAGUGCCGAAAUCUGGGGGAUGUGAAGGAGGUUUAAGGUGGUGGGGAAGGGCAGAAGGAAACAGGGGUGGGGGAGGCACAAAAUCCAUCUCCACAGAGUGUGGAGAACACGGAGGGCACAGCAGAGAUGGUGGGGAGGGAAGGGGACACAAAUUCUGUGGGGGAAAAUCCUACUGGAGGAAGCAUUUAGGGUCUUCUUUCCAGACAUGGAUAUUCCACCCAGAAAAAACUGUCCAGGAGUCACAAAUUUGGGUUUCCUCAGUUCUGCUGCUGCCAGAACUCCUUUUCUUUUUUUCCUUUCCAACGAGGGAGUCUCGCUGGACUUGCUGACUCUCAUUUCUUAUCUCAGAACCACCAGUCUGGCUGGGAGACACCUCGAGGAGUGGGGAAGUUCUGCCCAGAUGGAGCGUCAAAUCUGAGCCCUCAAGGGGGGAAGGGAUGUUCUAGAAGGCUCCACCUCCUCUGGUCACUUUGGCCUGUCCCAGGUCAGCAUCCCUGAGGCCCUCAGCAAUGUCUGAGUGCCCUGGGAGUGGGGCAAAACCUUCAGCAGCUCUUCAGUGAGAGCAGUGAGGGCUCUGAACUGGGGCUGCCCCUCUAGGAGCAGCUGGGGAUUCAAAAUUGAGGCACAGUGACCCAGUGGGGAUGUGGUGGCUUUGGAGGAGGGGUGAGACACCAUCCUUGGUGACACAGGGUGAGCAGCUCGUUUGUCACCUGCAUCUGAUGAGGAUUUGCAUCCUUGGCUCUGCAGGGCUCGGGGAGGAGAAGCAAAGAGGGGCCCAGGGGUGGGCGGUGUCCAUAGUGUGGUGUCCAAGCUGUGAAUUGAUGUCCAGGCUGUGUGUGACACCCAGGGCUGUGUGUGACACCCAGGGCUGUGUGUGACACCAAGGGCUGUGAGUGAUGUGCUGUGUGACACCCAGGGCUGCGUGUGACACCCAGGGCUGCGUGUGACGUGCUGUGUGACACCCAGGUCUGUGUGUGACACCCAGGGCUGUGUGUGACACCAAGGGGGGGGGGGGGGGGGGGGGGGGGGGGGGGGGGGGGGGGGGGGGGGGGGGGGGGGGGGGGGGGGGGGGGGGGGGGGGGGGGGGGGGGGGGGGGGUGACACCCAGGGCUGUGGUGACACCCAGGGCUGUGGUGACACCCAGGGCUGUGGUGACACCCAGGGCUGUGGUGACACCCAGGGCUGUGGUGACACCCAGGGCUGUGGUGACACCCAGGGCUGUGGUGACACCCAGGGCUGUGGUGACACCCAGGGCUGUGGUGACACCCAGGGCUGUGGUGACACCCAGGGCUG
RNAcentral lists this long non-coding RNA (1478 nucleotides) under Ficedula albicollis (Collared flycatcher). Its description in RNAcentral is "lncRNA (ENSFALG00000024310.1)". The record is from RNAcentral. Lineage: Eukaryota; Metazoa; Chordata; Aves; Passeriformes; Muscicapidae.